CCUACGGGAGGCUGCAGUGGGGAAUAUUGCACAAUGGGCGCAAGCCUGAUGCAGCCAUGCCGCGUGUGUGAAGAAGGCCUUCGGGUUGUAAAGCACUUUCAGCGGGGAGGAAGGCGGUGAGGUUAAUAACCUCAUCGAUUGACGUUACCCGCAGAAGAAGCACCGGCUAACUCCGUGCCAGCAGCCGCGGUAAUACGGAGGGUGCAAGCGUUAAUCGGAAUUACUGGGCGUAAAGCGCACGCAGGCGGUCUGUCAAGUCGGAUGUGAAAUCCCCGGGCUCAACCUGGGAACUGCAUUCGAAACUGGCAGGCUAGAGUCUUGUAGAGGGGGGUAGAAUUCCAGGUGUAGCGGUGAAAUGCGUAGAGAUCUGGAGGAAUACCGGCGGCGAAGGCGGCCCCCUGGACAAAGACUGACGCUCAGGUGCGAAAGCGUGGGGAGCAAACAGGAUUAGAUACCCUUGUAGUC
This 465-nucleotide ribosomal RNA is filed under the name uncultured Klebsiella sp. RNAcentral describes it as "bacterial SSU rRNA". It matches the Rfam family "Bacterial small subunit ribosomal RNA", at positions 338 to 795 of the family's 1533-position model. The record is from RNAcentral. Lineage: Bacteria; Pseudomonadati; Pseudomonadota; Gammaproteobacteria; Enterobacterales; Enterobacteriaceae.